GCGCCGUUGGUUUAGUGGUAAAAUAUCUCCGUUGCCAAACGAGAAUGCCCCCGGGUCCGAUUUCCCGGACGGCGGCA
RNAcentral lists this transfer RNA (77 nucleotides) under Phytophthora infestans T30-4. RNAcentral describes it as "tRNA-Gly". Lineage: Eukaryota; Oomycota; Peronosporomycetes; Peronosporales; Peronosporaceae. The record is from RNAcentral.